UUUAUUAACUGCAUACAGAGGUGCUCCACUUAUUGAUAUUGUUGGGAAAUUGAGCUUCCUCCCAAGAUCAAUCUAAGUAAUUUAUCAAACAACAAAUUAACAGAAAAAAUUAAAUAGAAAAUAAUAUCAAUCCUACAACAUAAGAUUUACGUGGAAAACUUCAAAUCCGAAAAAAAACCACAACCGUUAUCAAAAAGACAACUAGAGAAAAAUAUUUACUAUGUGAAAAAUUAUUACAAUUACACUCUUAGAAAUAAUUUCUCUCACCCAAACCCCAGAUACACCCAAAAUACUAAAACUUCCUAAUACUCACUUAAUGCUUAACUUGCAUUAGAUUUCACAGCUCUAUAGAAUUUUGAAUGCUUCUCUCUAGGAUGAUUAAAAUGAAGGAAGAAAAAAAGGUAUACAAAUAUUUUUUUAAUGAUUUGUCACAUCCUACAUAUACUUUACAAUUUCGAGUCAAUUAAUUAGAAUAUUUUUGAAUUCAUACAUUUAUAUCACAGUCUAUGAUCUAUAGAAAAUAGCUCCAUAACCAUCUAUUUUUCUUUUGUUGAAUAUAAAUUGUGAAAUUCAUUAAUACUAAUUCAUUGUAGCAAUAUGUAUUUUGUUACAGGAAGCAGUUAAGUUAAAAUGGAUUGAUCUUCAUCACUCUCGAGACUGGGCGAAAAUCCCUUAUUCCUCAGAAUUGCCAAACCUUGAGAGAAUAGAACUUUUGAACCGUAGAAAGUUGCCUUACGUUGUCCCAACCAUUCAUAAUUUUAAUCAUCUUAGCAGCUUGUGUCUCGAAGGUUGCAAGAGUCCUAAGCACUUUCCAGGUAACACCCAUUUUAGAUCUCCAAUUGCAGUUAAUUUCUCCUUGUAUUUUGAUCUUACAGAGUUUCCACAAAUCACCGAAAAUGUAAGACCUUUACGUGGGACCCCAAUAGAAGAAAUUCGUGCAUCAGUUGAGUGCCUAAAUCUCGAGAAUUGCAAAAGGCUUAAAAGUAUUAGUAUUUCAAGUAAAAACAUUUGCAAAAGAAUUAUAAAACUGCAAUUAACUUAUUUAUAGGCAAAAAACUUGCCUAAUAGCCUUCAAGUUUGAUCAAAUUUGGUGGCUUACCCACCAAAUUUGAUCAAAUGAAUUUGGUCAUGUUCAACCAUGGCUGCUCCCAUGGUUCAAGAAUGGAGGCUAAAGCCUUUACUUUGACAGAUACCACACCACAAACUGAAGACAUGAAAACAAUAUUUCAUGCGCUCGAUGCUUUCAGAAGAGUGUGUGCAAUGUGGGACGAGCUGACUCAAAAUUUUGUAGCUAUGAUAAAUGACAAGUCUUCAGCUGUGUAACCUACUGUAGUAGCCCUUCGCAUUUGUCCCAACAUUGUUUAUCUACAGUCAUGCACAUGGACAUGGACUAACUUAAUAUAUUAUAAAAAAAAAUGUAUAGAUCAUACAUCUAGUAAUUAAUUAAGUGAUCACAUAAAAGGAUGUUCAGUUUGCCAAUGAAAAGAGAGGAGACAUGUUUCAUUAGAUUCUUUCAUUGUUCUUGUUUUGAAACAUCGCAUACAGAAUAUAAAUUUUAAUAUAUAAAAAAUUAUAUUUUUUGAUCUAUUAAAAUAUUGAAAUCUGUAUUUUUUGUCUGCUUUUUGCUACAAAAUUAUUAUUAUUAUUAUUAGCUAGCUCAGCUAGGCAGCGAUAAUAAAGAAAGUACCCGAGUCCUCUGGAUCCACCGAUAACAAGCGUGGUCAGCCGUCGAGCCUCCAUCUGUCAUGGCCCGCCGUGCCAUUCUAUUUGCCUGAUCCUCUUUCCGC
RNAcentral lists this long non-coding RNA (1787 nucleotides) under Citrus maxima (pomelo). Its description in RNAcentral is "long non-coding RNA (CMAX_LNC003549)". Lineage: Eukaryota; Viridiplantae; Streptophyta; Magnoliopsida; Sapindales; Rutaceae. The record is from RNAcentral.